AGGAAAUGUAAAGCCAAUAUGAAAGCUGCUAACUUUUAUAUUAGCGGUUAAACUCCGUUAACAUUUCUUA
RNAcentral lists this transfer RNA (70 nucleotides) under Chondracris rosea. RNAcentral's name for it is "tRNA-Ser". Lineage: Eukaryota; Metazoa; Arthropoda; Insecta; Orthoptera; Acrididae. The record is from RNAcentral.